GACCGCGUAGCUCAGUUGGCAGAGCAUUGGGCUAGUAUUCCAAAGGUCGUAUGUUCGACUCCGACCGUGGCCA
RNAcentral lists this transfer RNA (73 nucleotides) under Paramuricea clavata. It matches the Rfam family "tRNA". Rfam says of the family: Transfer RNA (tRNA) molecules are approximately 80 nucleotides in length. Their secondary structure includes four short double-helical elements and three loops (D, anti-codon, and T loops). The record is from Rfam by way of RNAcentral. Lineage: Eukaryota; Metazoa; Cnidaria; Anthozoa; Malacalcyonacea; Plexauridae.